AAGACAUGAAGUUAGGUCAGCAAACCCGCUGAAUUUAAGCAUAUAAGUAAGCGGAGGAAAAGAAACUAAAUAGGAUUCCCUCAGUAAUGGCGAAUGAACAGGGAUGAGCUCAGCAUGGAAAUUGGGGCCCUGUGGCCUUGAAUUGUAGUCUGGAGAUGUACCACCAACUGGGGCGCAGAUGUAAGCCUCUUGGAAAAGAGCAUCAAUGAGGGUGAGAGUCCCGCUUGGCAUCUGCAGUCCCCAGUGCACGGUGUACCUUCUAAGAGUCACGUUCCUCGGGAUUGGAGCGCAAAUCGGGUGGUAAGUUUCAUCUAAAGCUAAAUAUUGUUUCGAGACCGAUAGCAAACAAGUACCAUGAGGGAAAGGUGAAAAGGACUUUGAAAAGAGAGUUAAAAGUGCCUGAAAUUGCUGAAAGGGAAGCGAAUGGAAUCAGCGUAACUUGGUGAGAUUGCUGCGUGUCAGUGUGAUUGCUUGCUGCUUCAACGUAAGUGUGGUGGUAAGUCUUGAACAGGACAUGCGUGGUGCUUCUUGCCUUGUGUGUCACCGUCAGUUCGCAGCUGGGGAAAACUUCAAAGACAUGGUAGCCUGUCUCCGGGUGGGUGAAUGUGUUUGCUGGAACUCAUGUGCGGAUUGCUUGGUGACUAAAUGGUUCCAUCUGACCCGUCUUGAAACAC
Molecule: ribosomal RNA, 674 nt
Filed under: Calciodinellum sp. tub 2
Lineage: Eukaryota; Dinophyceae; Thoracosphaerales; Thoracosphaeraceae
Description: LSU rRNA
Rfam family: Eukaryotic large subunit ribosomal RNA
Source: RNAcentral